UUAUACCGCAUUGAAUAUCUCCAGCACGGUCGCUCUGGCUCUCGGGAGUUGUAGUCUUCCUUCCCUCUGUAUAGUGGUUCUUCUAAUGGGCUGCUUGCUGGGACCCAGCUGAGCUGAAGUGCCAUUGAUUGCUGUGUAAUUUGUGGAAGCAGAAGAGGAAACUAGUCCACGUUUUCAAGAUCACCAGUCCUCCACUGUACAGAAGACCAAACGUUGGGCCUCCUGAAAUUUUGUAUUUUAGAAAGUGGAACUCUUCUUGGUUGCUUGUACUUGA
Molecule: long non-coding RNA, 274 nt
Organism: Pelobates fuscus (common spadefoot toad)
Lineage: Eukaryota; Metazoa; Chordata; Amphibia; Anura; Pelobatidae
Exons: 3
Source: RefSeq, a predicted model, not a curated record